GAACUUUCGAGAUCCCAAGAUUCCUAUAUAAAGCACACUACAGCGCCUCGGCUCUCCAUCAUCAUCUUCCAUAGCCAUUUCUGGAUUCGAUCAGAAGAUUACAGAUUUGAUAUAACAACUUCGCUGUUUUUUUUUUUUUUUUUUUUCUGCUAGUGUGUGAACAGCAGAAAUGGGAAGAAAAAGAAAAAAAGAAAAGUGUUGUGUGAAGUUUGAUAUUUGGUGUGAUGUAUCAGUGAAUCUAAACCCUAAUAUUAUAAUAAGCGUUGAUUUCUCCCUACGAUUCCAUUGUAAAUAUUUGUUUAGAUUUAGUCCUUAGAAGAGCAUAUUUCACAUCUGGCCCAUGCAUGAUUUUUCUUGUAUUCAUUGUGCUCUAAAUGGGUUCGAAUUCAAGACUUGAAGAUAUAUCAUAGAUUGAUAUUUAAAUUUUUAUUAAAAA
Molecule: unclassified non-coding RNA, 436 nt
Filed under: Hevea brasiliensis (rubber tree)
Lineage: Eukaryota; Viridiplantae; Streptophyta; Magnoliopsida; Malpighiales; Euphorbiaceae
Source: RNAcentral